RNAcentral lists this transfer RNA (66 nucleotides) under Menathais tuberosa. RNAcentral describes it as "tRNA-His". It matches the Rfam family "tRNA". Rfam says of the family: Transfer RNA (tRNA) molecules are approximately 80 nucleotides in length. Lineage: Eukaryota; Metazoa; Mollusca; Gastropoda; Neogastropoda; Muricidae. The record is from RNAcentral.
GUCAAGUUAGUUUAUAUAAAAACAUCAGCCUGUGGAUUUGAAAAUGAAAUUUUUUUUCACUUGACC